UUAUGACUCAUCUGGUAUAUGCUUGUCCAUCCUCCUCUAAUUUUUCCCUGAGAAUUUCUGUUCUUACAGUUGGCAUGGCAUGAACAUAAAACCAAAAGAAUGAGACAACUACCUUGCAGAGAACUAUGCUUUGUUCAGCAGAAAUGGUGGUUUUUUGCCUUGGCUAUGUGCAAAUCACACCUGAUUGCUGGUGUUUAUAUUUCUGAUAUUGAUCAUCACAUGAUCAAUUUCAAGUGUCAAAGGGGAGCUGCAACGCUUAUUACCAAAGGCAGUCAAGGCCCCAAAACAAAGCAGCCAGCUUUAUUCUUAUAAAACACAUUUGUUUUUGAGGUACAAGACAGUAGACUGGAUUUUCUGUUGUGCUCGGCUAUGAACUCGACUAAAGCUAACAGUCUUCCCAUUGCUGCCACUUGUGUUUCUAGCCACUGGACUUCAAUACCCUGUAGCCAUGUUUUUGGGGAAAUGGACUGAGGGCUGAGACUUUCAAGCCAAAAGUUUGUUCUGAAAUAACCUGCUCUGAACUUGUGGCCAUGAACAGACAUGUGCACACAUCAGAAAGCCAAGCCUUGCUGGAGAGAGAAUAACACCAAAAGACAUUCACAUAGCAAUCACUCUGCUCUGGCUAAGUUUUUAAUAGGCCAAGACCCUGAUUUAGAAAAAGAAGAGAAGCCUUUCUGCUGGCCACACGCAUCUCUAAAUACACACCUGGGACUCAAGAAGUUUUGGGUGGGAAAAGAGUUUCACAGAGAAUCCUGGAAGGCCUUGGGAGAAGCAGAGCUGAUGCAUUGAUAUCAACAUGAGGAACACUGAGGAACAGAGAUUUAUGCCACAGAACGUUUCCCAGACAGCAAGGCAGGGUGACUGGAGGAGCACAGAUGAAUGAAAGACAAGCUAUGCUAGAGUGCAAAGAUCUGAGCCUACUAUCCUGAAGUCAAACUAAUACCUCUGUUCAUUGAAGUCAUUCUGCGCUUGUCAACCAGUCACCAUUAUCCUACAACUCAUCAGGAGCAUGCAGACAC
This 1019-nucleotide long non-coding RNA is filed under the name Calidris pugnax (ruff). RNAcentral describes it as "lncRNA (ENSCPUG00000007314.1)". The record is from RNAcentral. Lineage: Eukaryota; Metazoa; Chordata; Aves; Charadriiformes; Scolopacidae.